This 262-nucleotide long non-coding RNA is filed under the name Brassica napus (rape). RNAcentral's name for it is "long non-coding RNA (BNAP_LNC027140)". The record is from RNAcentral. Lineage: Eukaryota; Viridiplantae; Streptophyta; Magnoliopsida; Brassicales; Brassicaceae.
UUUGGUUGUCUAUUGCAAAACUUCUCGCAAGCUUCUUUACAUAUGGUUAGAUCAGGGUUUUCAAUUAAUUUCAUGCACUGAUUUGGAAUGCAAUCUUUGAUACACCUUUCUACAUUGAUUGAAUGAGAAAUGUGUGCUGAAAACACUACCAUAAUCAUAAUUAUGGUUAUAAAAACACUUGAUUUUUUGUGAAUUCCCAUGACGUAUGUAUUUAGUUAUCACAAAUUCUAAGAAAAUGUUGUACUUUUUUCUUUUAAAAUUG